This is a long non-coding RNA of Anguilla rostrata (American eel), 522 nucleotides long. RefSeq lists it as uncharacterized. The record is from RefSeq and is a predicted model, not a curated record. The transcript has 2 exons. NCBI's taxonomy places the organism in Eukaryota, Metazoa, Chordata, Actinopteri, Anguilliformes, Anguillidae.
UAUGUGUUGGGAGAGAGGGGAGGUGUGAAAUAUCUGAGCCCAUCUCUCAGCUGCAUGGUAACAUGUAAUACAAUUCUGAACAACAAAAGUAUAAAAAAAGAAAGAAAAAAACAGUGAAAGUUCAUGUUUUCUUUCUCCAGACAAAAUUACAUUCCCCUUCAGAAAGUCAUUACACCUGGCAGGCCACUCCUGAGUAAACCUGGAAAAAAGACCUUCAGAAGAAUAGAUUCAAGACAUCAAGAUUUGGAAUGGCCAAUUAUGCCACUCAAGUCACUGCUGUUCCUCCCACUCCUGAUGACAACCGGUCGCCUGGAAACCUAAGAAACCCUGUUUGAUGUAAACCCGCCCUGCUCAUAGGGAGAAUUUUCCCCGGUAGAGCUGGUCGGGAGUUCAGUGUGAGACUUUUUUUUUUGUUGUUGUAAAUUUCCAAGGUUCCUAUGCUCUGUUUCUUUACAACAACUGAGGGACUGACAAAAGCCAAUGAUAAAAUAGCCAUUCAAUAAAAAAAUGGUUUUCUGUAAA